CCUACGGGGGGCUGCAGUGAGGAAUAUUGGUCAAUGGUCGGGAGGCUGAACCAGCCAAGCCGCGUGAGGGAGGAAGGUACAGAGUAUCGUAAACCUCUUUUGUCAGGGAACAAAGACUGGGACGCGUCCCCGGAUGAGUGUACCUGAAGAAAAAGCAUCGGCUAACUCCGUGCCAGCAGCCGCGGUAAUACGGAGGAUGCGAGCGUUAUCCGGAUUUAUUGGGUUUAAAGGGUGCGCAGGCGGUCUGUUAAGUCAGCGGUCAAAGCCCGGGGCUCAACGUGGGAACUGCCUUUGAAACUGGCAAACUGGAGUGUGUGAGAGGAUAGUGGAAUUCCAGGUGUAGGAGUGAAAUCCGUAGAUAUCUGGAGGAACAUCAGUGGCGAAGGCGACUAUCUGGCACAUAACUGACGCUGAGGAGCGAAAGCGUGGGUAGCAAACAGGAUUAGAUACCCUGGUAGUC
Molecule: ribosomal RNA, 460 nt
Filed under: uncultured bacterium
Lineage: Bacteria
Description: partial 16S ribosomal RNA
Rfam family: Bacterial small subunit ribosomal RNA
Source: RNAcentral